UUUCUUUUUGUUUGUAUAAAAAGUAAGACCUGCUCACUGAGAUUUAAAGAGCCGCAGUAUUUUGACUGUGCAAAGGUAGCAUAAUAAUUAGCUUUUUAAUUGAAGGCUGGCAUGAAAGGUUAAACGAAAUUUUUAUUGUCUCUUAUUAGUUUAUUGAAUUUUAUUUUAUAGUGAAAAAGCUAUAAUAAUUAAAGAGGACGAGAAGACCCUAUAGAGUUUUAUAAUUAAUUCAGGUUUAGAAUAAAAUUAAAAUUAUUUGAUUGGGGUGAUAAUGAAAUAAGUAAACUUUUAAAAUAAUAACAGUAUAAUUGAAUUAAAGAUCUUAAAGUACAUAAAGAAAAAUUACCUUAGGGAUAACAGCGUAAUUAUUUUGGAGAGUUCAAAUUGAUGGAAUAGAUUGCGACCUCGAUGUUGGAUUAGAAAUAUAUUUAAAGCAGAAAUUAAAUGGAGGAGUCUGUUCGACUAUUAAAUUUCUA
This 476-nucleotide ribosomal RNA is filed under the name Tricorythodes aff. bullus LGD-2019. RNAcentral's name for it is "partial 16S ribosomal RNA". It matches the Rfam family "Archaeal large subunit ribosomal RNA", at positions 1915 to 2667 of the family's 2987-position model. The record is from RNAcentral. Lineage: Eukaryota; Metazoa; Arthropoda; Insecta; Ephemeroptera; Leptohyphidae.